UUUCCGUAGGUGAACCUGCGGAAGGAUCAUUAACAAAUCUGAGGUCGCGCUAGUUGCAGAGUACUUUUAAGUGCUUGGUAUCUAGUUUUGACCACAUUGACUCGGGCACUGCUCUGACUAACACUUUUGUGUGGUUGGUGGGGAUGCCCUGAGACAUACACGCUUGUUUUGUUUGAUAGAGUAACCAGUAACCACUAAAUAAUGACAACUUUUAACAAUGGAUCUCUUGGCUCUU
This 235-nucleotide unclassified non-coding RNA is filed under the name soil metagenome. RNAcentral describes it as "partial contains small subunit ribosomal RNA, internal transcribed spacer 1, and 5.8S ribosomal RNA". The record is from RNAcentral.